This 558-nucleotide ribosomal RNA is filed under the name Plocamium cartilagineum. RNAcentral's name for it is "SSU rRNA". It matches the Rfam family "Eukaryotic small subunit ribosomal RNA", at positions 594 to 1173 of the family's 1831-position model. The record is from RNAcentral. Lineage: Eukaryota; Rhodophyta; Florideophyceae; Plocamiales; Plocamiaceae.
UGWAAGCGUAAAMCAAAGUUGUURCAGUUAAAACGCUYGUAGUMRGAUUUUGGCGGGCGAUSUGGGGCGUCUUAACCGACGAUCUCAUGUCGGCUGCCUUUGUGGAGGGAGGCCUAGUGGUGCUUUAUUGCAUUGCUUGGUUUCUGCCACCGUUUACUGUGAAAAAAUUAGWGUGUUCAAAGCGGGCGUUUGCCAUGAAUACAUUAGCAUGGAAUAAUAGAAUAGGACCUGUUUCCUGUUUUGUUGGUUUGUGAGGAUCGGGUAAUGAUUAAGAGGGACGGUUGGGGGCAUUUGUAUUCCGGCGUCAGAGGUGAAAUUCUUGGAUUGGCGGAAGACAAACAGCUGCGAAAGCGUCUGCCAAGGACGUUUUCAUUGAUCAAGAACGAAAGUAAGGGGAUCGAAGACGAUCAGACACCGUCGUAGUCUUUACUAUAAACGAUGAGGACUGGAGAUCGGGUGAGACUGUUUUUGGCUCACCCGGCAUCCUUCGGGAAACCAAAGUAUUUGCUUUCUGGGGGGAGUAUGGUCGCAAGGCUGAAACNUAAAGGAAUGACGAAG